RNAcentral lists this ribosomal RNA (397 nucleotides) under uncultured bacterium. RNAcentral's name for it is "bacterial SSU rRNA". It matches the Rfam family "Bacterial small subunit ribosomal RNA", at positions 32 to 424 of the family's 1533-position model. The record is from RNAcentral.
AAUCAACGCUGGCGGCGUGCCUAACACAUGCAAGUCGAACGAGAAAGUGGAGCAAUCCAUGAGUAAAGUGGCGACCGGGUGAGUAACACGUGACUAACCUACCCUAAAGUGGGGAAUAACCUCGGGAAACCGGGCUAAUACCGCAUAACAUUGCGCGGCUGAAAGGCCAUGCAUUCAAAGGAGCAAUUCGCUUUAGGAGGGGGUCGCGGUUGAUUAGCUAGUUGGUGAGGUAAUGGCNCACCAAGGCGAUGAUCAAUAGCCGGCCUGAGAGGGCGCACGGCCACACUGGAACUGAAACACGGUCCAGACUCCUACGGGAGGCAGCAGUGGGGAAUUUUGCGCAAUGGGGGAAACCCUGACGCAGCAACGCCGCGUGGAGGAUGAAGUCCCUUGGGAU